AUUGAACGCUGGCGGCAGGCCUAACACAUGCAAGUCGAACGAGUGGCGGACGGGUGCGUAAUGUCUGGGAAACUGCCUGAUGGAGGGGGAUAACUACUGGAAACGGUAGCUAAUACCGCAUACCAUCGGGUGUGCCCCGAUGGGCUUAGCGAGGAGGUUGGGUAACGGCUCACCUAGGCGAAGAUCCCUAGCUGGUCUGAGAGGAUGACCAGCCAAACUGGAACUGAGACACGGUCCAGACUCCGACGGGAGUCAGCAGUUGUGAAUAUUGCACAAUGGUCGCAAGCCUGAUGCAGCCAUGCCGCGUGAAUGAAGAAGGCCUUCGGUUUGUAAAGUACUUUCAGCGGUGAGGCGGUACCCGCAGAAGAAGCACCGGCUAACUCCGUGCCAGCAGCCGCGGUAAUAC
This 406-nucleotide ribosomal RNA is filed under the name uncultured bacterium. RNAcentral describes it as "partial 16S ribosomal RNA". It matches the Rfam family "Bacterial small subunit ribosomal RNA", at positions 30 to 526 of the family's 1533-position model. The record is from RNAcentral.